RNAcentral lists this ribosomal RNA (450 nucleotides) under uncultured Glomus. Its description in RNAcentral is "SSU rRNA". It matches the Rfam family "Eukaryotic small subunit ribosomal RNA", at positions 569 to 1025 of the family's 1831-position model. The record is from RNAcentral. Lineage: Eukaryota; Fungi; Glomeromycota; Glomeromycetes; Glomerales; Glomeraceae.
AGCAGCCGCGGUAAUUCCAGCUCCAAUAGCGUAUAUUAAAGUUGUUGCAGUUAAAAAGCUCGUAGUUGAAUUUCGAGAUCAAAUUGUUGGUCGUGCCUUGGUACGUACUGGCAUUAUUGGUUUCUCCCUUCUGAAGAACCAUGAUGUCAUUAAUUUGGCGUCAUGGGGAAUCAGGACUGUUACUUUGAAAAAUUAGAGUGUUUAAAGCAGGCUCGCGCUUGAAUACAUUAGCAUGGAAUAAUGAAAUAGGACGUUUAAUUCUAUUUUGUUGGUUUCUAGGAUUGACGUAAUGAUUAAUAGGGAUAGUUGGGGGCAUUAGUAUUCAAUUGUCAGAGGUGAAAUUCUUGGAUUUAUUGAAGACUAACUACUGCGAAAGCAUUUGCCAAGGAUGUUUUCAUUAAUCAAGAACGAAAGUUAGGGGAUCGAAGACGAUCAGAUACCGUCGUAGUC